This 1814-nucleotide long non-coding RNA is filed under the name Drosophila guanche. The record is from RNAcentral. Lineage: Eukaryota; Metazoa; Arthropoda; Insecta; Diptera; Drosophilidae.
UGUAGUCCGAUGCACACUUUCCCGCCUAAUUGCUCUCUAAGUGGCAAAUAUGUUGGGCCCUGAUGAACGGCCUGUCAACUGGCAGUCGGCAGUUGGGAAGACUCAGCAUGGGGGGACUAGAUAUGAAUAAAUGCGUGUAUUUUGAUUCUUUAGAUUGUCAAUGUGGGAGGUUCCCCACUUCAACCUGAACAGAAAUAGGGAAAAUGGGAAACUCAUCAUAUAAAAUUGUCUAUUAAUUAUGACACGCUGAGUGGCAGGAAGAGCUGUUGAAUCUAAGAAUACUAUUAGCAUCUAUGAAGCAUGAAGGGAAGACUUUGCCGGGAGCAAUGUAAAUCACGAGUUAGAAUAUUUACAAAAAGACUAAAAUUAAUCCAUAAAUAUGAUAAGAUUCACAAACUACGCUCAAACAAAUCGUCUAACCACAUUAACGAUCUACUACAGAAAAUACACACAAAUCGUAGAAUUGAUUAAAAAUGCAUUUGCAGCAUCCACAACUUGUUGAAAGUGGUUUUGCGCCGAAUGAAGUUUGCGCUGCAAUUUGUUCGAGCUCCGACUGUCGGACUCUCUCAGACUCGUGCUUGGUCACUUUAUUAAUUUUAAAAUAAAAUAGCACAACCAUUAACAAUGCACCAGCCAAAGUCCACUAACAGCCAGGAACCACAAUAGCAGAAGGCAUCUAAAAAACAGUAAACAAUAAACAAAAACAGGAGCACGGCGCACAAGGACAAGUCGACAUCAGAGCCGUGGACAGCAGCAGGAGCUGGAUCCAGGACCAAGUACAACUGGAAAGCUACGACGAAAUAAAACAUGCUUACUUACACAAUGUUGAGUACGUGUAAAACAUAUACACGAGCAUCUACAGUAGUUACUCCGGACACACCACACCACACCACACCACACUAUACCUACAUACCGUAUACUGCUGCGAUGCACUGUAAAAAGCACAAAACUUAGUCAGCCAGUCAGCGAUGCGAUGCUGAAAGGCAGAGCGAGAGAGACCAGGAGCGAGAGUGAGAGAGAGCGAGAGAACUUUCUUCGCACGCUUUGCAGUCAUUUGGAGCAUAUGUUUCGAACAUUUUUCAUAAUCAAAAAGCUUUUAGCGGCGGACAGUGGCAAUGAUGGCCAGAACGUCGGCGAGGAUGCUGCUCAUGCCACGCCUUCCUGCCGCUGCCGCUGCCGCUGACCCAGCCUCAGUCCCUGCCACAACCACUCCCGCUGCUGAUUCCUGGCCAAGUGGAGCUUACUGUCCGUUUCAUUUUCGAGUGCAGCAGCGUGUAAAAUCGCAAUAAUGCACAAGAUUCCCUGCCCAGUGGCCCUUUUCCAGGGAUAAAAACUAAAGAAAAAUGCUGGUUACUAAACGAAGCCUAAUCGGGAAUACUCUACCGAAAAACUUAAUACAGAAUUGAUCGAAAAUGCAGUUCAAUUCACAGUAAAUGUCAAAUGCCUGUUUAAUAAUUUUCAAUCUUAGACACAAGAUUUAACAUCAUAUCCUGUGGAAUUGUAGAAUCGCUUUGUUAACUGUCUAAGAACUAAAUUAAAAUAAAAUAAAUUCAAGAAUUCCAAUCCAUUGGAAAACCAUUCGUACCCCUCAAACAAGGGUAUAUCCCCUUGACAAAUACAAGCCAAAGCGGCAAGCAGAAGCGACAACAACCACUGAAACAACAACAUGAACAGAAACAUUUGUCAUGGCAAUUGAUUGCCAAGAAAUCCAAAACACCCAAAAACAAAUUCAAUUUAACUCUUAACAAAUAAACGGAAAAACAAUGCAAUGCGAAAACGAAAUGCAAUUCAAUUUCCAUAGGCAUAAACAUAUC